GACGAACGCUGGCGGCGUGCUUAACACAUGCAAGUCGAACGGAAAGGCCUUUUCGGAGGUACUCGAGUGGCGAACGGGUGAGUAACACGUGGGUGAUCUGCCCUGCACUCUGGGAUAAGCCUGGGAAACUGGGUCUAAUACCGGAUAGGACCGCACUUUAGUGUGUGUGGUGGAAAGUUUUUUCGGUGUAGGAUGAGCCCGCGGCCUAUCAGCUUGUUGGUGGGGUAAUGGCCUACCAAGGCGGCGACGGGUAGUCGGACUGAGAGGUUGGUCGGCCACAUUGGGACUGAGAUACGGCCCAGACUCCGACGGGAGGCAGCAGUGGGGAAUAUUGCACAAUGGGCGCAAGCCUGAUGCAGCGACGCCGCGUGGGGGAUGACGGCCUUCGGGUUGUAAACUCCUUUCGCCAGGGACGAAGCGUUUUGUGACGGUACCUGGAGAAGAAGCACCGGCUAACUACGUG
RNAcentral lists this ribosomal RNA (463 nucleotides) under uncultured bacterium. Its description in RNAcentral is "partial 16S ribosomal RNA". It matches the Rfam family "Bacterial small subunit ribosomal RNA", at positions 28 to 507 of the family's 1533-position model. The record is from RNAcentral.